This 207-nucleotide ribosomal RNA is filed under the name uncultured bacterium. Its description in RNAcentral is "partial 16S ribosomal RNA". It matches the Rfam family "Bacterial small subunit ribosomal RNA", at positions 568 to 774 of the family's 1533-position model. The record is from RNAcentral.
UGUGUAGGCGGUGCUCUAAGUUCGGUGUGAAAUCUCCUGGCUUAACUGGGAGGGUGCGCCGAAAACUGGAGUGCUCGAGCGUGGGAGAGGAAAGCGGAAUUCCUGGUGUAGCGGUGAAAUGCGUAGAUAUCAGGAGGAACACCUGCGGUGUAGACGGCUUUCUGGACCAUUGCUGACGCUGAGACACGAAAGCGUGGGUAGCAAACA